GGGGAAUAUUGGGCAAUGGGGGCAACCCUGACCCAGCGACGCCGCGUGAAGGACGAAGGCCUUCGGGUUGUAAACUUCUUUGAUCGGGGACGAUAAUGACGGUACCCGAGGAACAAGCCACGGCUAACUACGUGCCAGCAGCCGCGGUAAUACGUAGGUGGCGAGCGUUAUCCGGAUUUACUGGGUGUAAAGGGCGUGUAGGCGGGUCGGCAAGUCGGAUGUGAAAUACUGAGGCUUAACUUCAGUCGGUCAUCCGAAACUGUCGAUCUUGAGUGUCAGAGGGGAAAGCGGAAUUCCUGGUGGAGCGGUAAAAUGCGUAGAGAUCAGGAGGAACACCGGUGGCGAAGGCGGCUUUCUGGCUGACAACUGACGCUGAGGCGCGAAAGCGUGGGGAGCAAAC
RNAcentral lists this ribosomal RNA (400 nucleotides) under uncultured bacterium. RNAcentral's name for it is "bacterial SSU rRNA". It matches the Rfam family "Bacterial small subunit ribosomal RNA", at positions 356 to 773 of the family's 1533-position model. The record is from RNAcentral.